RNAcentral lists this ribosomal RNA (242 nucleotides) under uncultured bacterium. RNAcentral's name for it is "partial 16S ribosomal RNA". It matches the Rfam family "Bacterial small subunit ribosomal RNA", at positions 92 to 334 of the family's 1533-position model. The record is from RNAcentral.
CGACCGGCGCACGGGUGAGUAACGCGUAUGCAAUCUACCUUCCACUAGGGCAUAACCCGGAGAAAUUCGGACUAAUACCCUAUAAUACGAAUAUUUCGCAUGAAACUUUCGUUAAAGAUUAAUCAGUAGAAGAUGAGCAUGCGUUCCAUUAGCCAGUUGGUGAGGUAACAGCUCACCAAAGCAACGAUGGAUAGGGGAACUGAGAGGUUUAUCCCCCACACUGGAACUGAGACACGGACCAG